This 218-nucleotide long non-coding RNA is filed under the name Hordeum vulgare. RNAcentral describes it as "long non-coding RNA (HVUL_LNC001067)". The record is from RNAcentral. Lineage: Eukaryota; Viridiplantae; Streptophyta; Magnoliopsida; Poales; Poaceae.
UAUGAAUGCACGAACAUGUAACUAGCGAGGCAAAAAAAUAACACACGUAACGCGUCCAGCGCGAGAUCAACGAGUAGGUCACAAACCUGACCGGAGGACAACAUCUCUUUUUUUGAAUGUCGAGAGGAGAACUGCAAAAUUCAUUGAUCGGAAGAAGUUAUGAGCCCUCCAAAGGAGGAAAGCACAACAAAAAGGCUAGUGCAAAAAGAAAAGAAAGA